This 45-nucleotide non-coding RNA is filed under the name Trichobilharzia regenti. Lineage: Eukaryota; Metazoa; Platyhelminthes; Trematoda; Strigeidida; Schistosomatidae. The record is from RNAcentral.
AUCCAACUGACGAGUCCCAAAUGGGAAAAAAUGCGCAUCCUGGAU